GAAAUGCGAUAAGUAAUGUGAAUUGCAGAAUUCAGUGAAUCAUCGAAUCUUUGAACGCACAUUGCGCCCGCCAGUAUUCUGGCGGGCAUGCCUGUUCGAGCGUCAUUUCAACCAUCAAGCCCCGGGCUUGUGUUGGGGACCUGCGGCUGCCGCAGGCCCUGAAAACCAGUGGCGGGCUCGCUGUCACACCGAGCGUAGUAGAUUCUCAUCUCGCUCAGGGAGUGCUGCGGGUUCCGGCCGUAAAACAGCCUUAUUUUACCCAAGGUUGACCUCGGAUCAGGUAGGAAGACCCGCUGAACUUAAGC
RNAcentral lists this unclassified non-coding RNA (305 nucleotides) under plant metagenome. RNAcentral's name for it is "partial contains 5.8S ribosomal RNA, internal transcribed spacer 2, and large subunit ribosomal RNA". The stretch from base 1 to 105 matches the Rfam family "5.8S ribosomal RNA", at positions 50 to 154 of the family's 154-position model. The record is from RNAcentral.